Molecule: long non-coding RNA, 385 nt
Organism: Stegodyphus dumicola
Lineage: Eukaryota; Metazoa; Arthropoda; Arachnida; Araneae; Eresidae
Source: RefSeq, a predicted model, not a curated record
GCAUGCCAUCUUACCAGAUUUAAACUGAUGAUCAAUAAUCCGGAAUUGCCGAAGUCCUGACGAGUCCGGAUUAAAGACUUUUGACUGUAUUCUGUUAUCAAAUGAUGCAGUAUGUCGAUGAAUUCAUGAAAUGGCUAAUAUCAUGGAAAUUUCAAGAGACACUUAUUCAAAAAAUAAAACAUAGUGGACACUUCUGAUUUGGUGCUCAUCUUGAUCACUCAUUAACAAUUUUACGAUCUCAUUAUAAAGAACAUUGCCCAGGAAAUGAUUGGAAUUGCGCUAAUAAAAAAGAAAUAGAUGACAAAACACAAGUAAUCAGAUACUGCAGUAGACAGUAACCUGUUUAAAUAGUUUUGUUACUGUUUCAAUAAAGUUACUAAGCUGA